Molecule: non-coding RNA, 48 nt
Filed under: unclassified sequences
Description: uup RNA
Rfam family: uup RNA
Source: RNAcentral
GAAGAGUCUGCUCCGGGCAAAUAAAAACGAUGAAACGUUGUGCGGAGC